RNAcentral lists this long non-coding RNA (295 nucleotides) under Triticum aestivum (bread wheat). Its description in RNAcentral is "long non-coding RNA (TAES_LNC016943)". The record is from RNAcentral. Lineage: Eukaryota; Viridiplantae; Streptophyta; Magnoliopsida; Poales; Poaceae.
CCCUGGACAAGCUUUCCUGUCUGCUGCAUAAUCUAGCAGAAGAAGUCUAUCCGUUCUAUCGAAACUUAUUUUACCGUGUGGAACUUAGAUUCCAAGUGCCUGUGGUGCUAUGUUAUUUUGUCUGAAUGUUGUGUCGAACCUUGUUAUGGAAGAUAUUAUCUAUUUUGUGAUGAUGGUACUAAUAUGAAUGGCCUGUUGAAUCAUUACUACUUGAAUUCGUUUGUCAAUGUAUUUUGCUGUGGUUGUUGUCCUGUGUUUGAAUUUGAUGCUUCAUUUUGUGAAGCUACCCAAGGAA